Molecule: long non-coding RNA, 802 nt
Organism: Arabidopsis lyrata subsp. lyrata
Lineage: Eukaryota; Viridiplantae; Streptophyta; Magnoliopsida; Brassicales; Brassicaceae
Exons: 3
Source: RefSeq, a predicted model, not a curated record
UUUCUCCCUGAAAGACCAAAUAUGAACACCAAAUGAAACCCAAUUAGUUUCUCUUCCACUAUCGAUCCCUAAUUUUGUCUAAUCCCUCUCAGAUCUAAAUCCCUCUUAGUCGAAAUCUCUCUAGAUCUCGAUCGUAUGUUUCUUAAUCGUCACAGACAUCAAUCGAAAUCAAAUUGUUGGAUUUGCGGAUCUGUAUGGAUUUGAAGUACAAGAGGAAUCCAUAUGCUUCAGACAUUGAGUAACUUUAAGGACGGUGAAGUCGUGCUUCUCCAGGAUAUCUGCAGAAAGGCAAGUGAUUGAAGAAUAAUACGAACAAAGCCUUGAGAGAAUGUCAUGAUUAUUUAUUCUUUGUUUGGUUGUUCUGUUUCAGGUUGCGAUUCAUCUUAUGGUUAACCAACUUCUUGGAUCUUUUUAUUUGUUGUUCAGGCACGAAAGGAAAUCAUAAGCAAGAUAAACAAGACGAUAGAGAAGCGGUUGCAGAACAAAGCAGCAUCAGAUACUGCUGGCGCUGGGAAUGGUGUACUUGGAAGAUUGCUUGAAGAAGAAAGCUUACCAAACGAAUCCAUGGCAGAUUUUAUCAUCAAUCUACUGUUUGCCGGAAAUGAAACCACCGCGAAAACAUCGUGCAAAUGAGCAGGAAGAACAUGAUAGGCUCGCAGGUGGAAUGCUAACAUGGCAAGAUUACAAGACAAUGGACUUCACUCAAUGCGUAAUAGAUGAGACACUCAGGCUUGGGGGAAUUGCAAUCUGGCUAAUGAGAGAGGCGAAAGAAGAUGUCUCAUACCAAGGUUCGUGAUAGCGU